UACUUAGUGGCAGACGGGUGAGUAACAUGUGGGUAUCUACCCUUUGGCCUGGAAUAACACGAGGAAACUUGUGCUAAUACCGGAUAAGUCUUUACGGAGAAAGCUUUAUGCACCAUUGGAUGAGCCCGCACUUGAUUAGUUUGUUGGUAGGGUAAUGGCCUACCAAGACUAUGAUCAAUAGCUGAUUUGAGAGGAUGAUCAGCCACAUUGGGACUGAGACACGGCCCAAACUCCUACGGGAGGCAGCAGUGGGGAAUCUUGCACAAUGGAGGAAACUCUGAUGCAGCGAUGCCGCGUGAGUGAAGAAGGCCUUUGGGUUGUAAAGCUCUUUCGUCGGGGAAGAAAAUGACUGUACCCGAAUAAGAAGGUCCGGCUAACUUCGUGCCAGCAGCCGCGGUAAUACGAAGGGACCUAGCGUAGUUCGGAAUUACUGGGCUUAAAGAGUUCGUAGGUGGUUGAAAA
This 462-nucleotide ribosomal RNA is filed under the name uncultured Pelagibacterales bacterium. Its description in RNAcentral is "bacterial SSU rRNA". It matches the Rfam family "Bacterial small subunit ribosomal RNA", at positions 89 to 585 of the family's 1533-position model. The record is from RNAcentral. Lineage: Bacteria; Pseudomonadati; Pseudomonadota; Alphaproteobacteria; Candidatus Pelagibacterales.